This 343-nucleotide transfer-messenger RNA is filed under the name uncultured Faecalimonas sp. It matches the Rfam family "transfer-messenger RNA". Rfam says of the family: Bacterial tmRNA, also known as 10Sa RNA or SsrA, is named for its dual tRNA and mRNA-like properties. Its role is to liberate the mRNA from a stalled ribosome. To accomplish this part of the tmRNA is used as a reading frame that ends in a translation stop signal. Lineage: Bacteria; Bacillati; Bacillota; Clostridia; Lachnospirales; Lachnospiraceae. The record is from RNAcentral.
GGGCUUGUACUGGUUUCGACGGGGGUUUUGAAGUUUGGGAAGCCAUCCGCGGGACGGGACCGCGUAACAAUCCGUAAUUAAAUAUAAACGCAGACGAAAAUUUAGCGUACGCUGCCUAGUGGCAGCAGUCGACCUUAAGUCACCCGCUGCUUAAGAGUUCGGCUUCGACCUUGCGGGGCACUUCGUUUCCAAAGCUUUGAGGAAAUGGAAGAAUUUAUGAAGCUACUAAAGCCGGAAGCCCGUCAUUAGGCGGCCGGCAGAGGGAAUGUUAAAAUAAUGACUGUGAUGGGAGAUGCCUGGAUGGACGGGCUUUCGGACAGGGGUUCGAUUCCCCUCAGGUCCA